Molecule: transfer RNA, 86 nt
Filed under: Desulfoprunum benzoelyticum
Lineage: Bacteria; Pseudomonadati; Thermodesulfobacteriota; Desulfobulbia; Desulfobulbales; Desulfobulbaceae
Description: tRNA-Ser
Source: RNAcentral
GUGGUUUUCAGUGAAGAUGCGGGAAAGCAGAAAAAAACACAUUGCUAAUCCGUAGGCCGCAGGUUCGAAUCCUGCCGGGCGCGCCA